AAAUAGGUUUACUUGGAACUAUGAAAAUUUUGAUGGCAUGAGUGGAGUCGGAAAAAAAAGUAAAUUAAGGUAGUCACUGAUGGUCAAGAAAGCCCAUCAUCCGAUUCCUACUUGCGAAUCGUUGAUAAUACCGACUUGGAAGAAGAGUGCACUGAAGAGGGAAGGGUGUGAUCAACUAGGUCAAGAUGAUGGAGUCCCACCCCAUUGAGUUGAAGAUGGGACAUUUUGGUGGAGCACAGACACUCUAUUUGUUAUAGCUUUUGAGCUAAAUUGUCUGGAUAGUACUUUCUUUUGUGAUCAAGACCUUGUCUUGAAAGAUGUAAUCUCUCUCUCUAGCUCUUUGAACUACAAAUGUUAUUAGUUGGUAUUUGGUAACAAUGUGGUUGUAAUAUGGAUAUGUCAUUCUUUUGGGGAAGAUCAAGGAGAAAGAGAGUGUUUAACAACCACCUUGAUGUAUUUUAACUAUGUCAUUAUUUUUCACAAAUUUUAUUAUGAAAUGGAUGUAAGCUACGAAGAAUUUAAUAAUAUUAUUAUUAUGAU
This is a non-coding RNA of Camellia sinensis, 540 nucleotides long. Lineage: Eukaryota; Viridiplantae; Streptophyta; Magnoliopsida; Ericales; Theaceae. The record is from RefSeq and is a predicted model, not a curated record.